Molecule: ribosomal RNA, 1018 nt
Filed under: Salmonella enterica
Lineage: Bacteria; Pseudomonadati; Pseudomonadota; Gammaproteobacteria; Enterobacterales; Enterobacteriaceae
Description: partial 23S ribosomal RNA
Rfam family: Bacterial large subunit ribosomal RNA
Source: RNAcentral
AAUCCAUAGGUUAAUGAGGCGAACCGGGGGAACUGAAACAUCUAAGUACCCCGAGGAAAAGAAAUCAACCGAGAUUCCCCCAGUAGCGGCGAGCGAACGGGGAGGAGCCCAGAGCCUGAAUCAGCAUGUGUGUUAGUGGAAGCGUCUGGAAAGGCGCGCGAUACAGGGUGACAGCCCCGUACACAAAAGCGCAUGUGCUGUGAGCUCGAUGAGUAGGGCGGGACACGUGGUAUCCUGUCUGAAUAUGGGGGGACCAUCCUCCAAGGCUAAAUACUCCUGACUGACCGAUAGUGAACCAGUACCGUGAGGGAAAGGCGAAAAGAACCCCGGCGAGGGGAGUGAAAAAGAACCUGAAACCGUGUACGUACAAGCAGUGGGAGCACCCUUUGGGGUGUGACUGCGUACCUUUUGUAUAAUGGGUCAGCGACUUAUAUUCUGUAGCAAGGUUAACCGUAUAGGGGAGCCGGAGGGAAACCGAGUCUUAACCGGGCGUUAAGUUGCAGGGUAUAGACCCGAAACCCGGUGAUCUAGCCAUGGGCAGGUUGAAGGUUGGGUAACACUAACUGGAGGACCGAACCGACUAAUGUUGAAAAAUUAGCGGAUGACCUGUGGCUGGGGGUGAAAGGCCAAUCAAACCGGGAGAUAGCUGGUUCUCCCCGAAAGCUAUUUAGGUAGCGCCUCGUGAACUCAUCUCCGGGGGUAGAGCACUGUUUCGGCUAGGGGGCCAUCCCGGCUUACCAACCCGAUGCAAACUGCGAAUACCGGAGAAUGUUAUCACGGGAGACACACGGCGGGUGCUAACGUCCGUCGUGAAGAGGGAAACAACCCAGACCGCCAGCUAAGGUCCCAAAGUCAUGGUUAAGUGGGAAACGAUGUGGGAAGGCCCAGACAGCCAGGAUGUUGGCUUAGAAGCAGCCAUCAUUUAAAGAAAGCGUAAUAGCUCACUGGUCGAGUCGGCCUGCGCGGAAGAUGUAACGGGGCUAAACCAUGCACCGAAGCUGCGGCAGCGACGCUGAUG